Molecule: ribosomal RNA, 774 nt
Filed under: uncultured Neocallimastigales
Lineage: Eukaryota; Fungi; Neocallimastigomycota; Neocallimastigomycetes; Neocallimastigales
Description: partial large subunit ribosomal RNA
Rfam family: Eukaryotic large subunit ribosomal RNA
Source: RNAcentral
GUACACGCUGUGACUAGCAUAUCAAUAAGCGGAGGAAAAGAAACUAACAAGGAUUCCCCUAGUAACGGCGAGUGAAGCGGGAAGAGCUCAAAUUUGAAAUCUUAAAGGGUUUCCCUUUACGAAUUGUAGUUUAAAGAAGUGUUUUCUGCUGAGGUUUUGGUAAAAGUUCUUUGGAAUAGGACAUCAUAGAGGGUGAGAAUCCCGUAUUUGACCUUUACUUUCAACUUUGUGAUACACUUUCAAAGAGUCGGAUUGUUUGGGAAUGCAGUCCAAAAUGGGUGGUAAAUUUCAUCUAAAGCUAAAUAUUGGCGAGAGACCGAUAGCGAACAAGUACCGUGAGGGAAAGAUGAAAAGAACUUUGAAAAGAGAGUUAAACAGUACGUGAAAUUGUCAAAAGGGAAGCGUUUGACACCAGUGUUGUUUUUCUGAAAAUCAAUUAAAGAACUGUUUAUGCUAAGUUGUUUAGACUUUAUCAGCUAACUGUUUAGUUUUGAGCUUUUCUUUAAUGCACUUUUCAGUUAACAAGUCAACAUCAAUUUCUUUUGCUGUAAAAAAGCUUGAGGAAGGUGGCUUGAGAUUCGUCUUAAGUGUUUAUAGCCUCUUGCCUAUGCAGUCGGAGAGAUUGAGGUCUGCAGCGUAGAUCCUUCGGGGCUAAAUGCAUUUGUGCUAAGUUAUAACAUUUUAUAGACAACUUGUUGACUAUGAUUUGUCUUGUAGCUUACUCGCUUAUGUUAUUUUACCUACGCUUAGGAUGUUGAAGAUGUAGCACAUCAU